GGGUGUACAUGUCUAUAUUUAUAUAUUGAGAUAUUGGAGGAAAUUAAAAUGUAGAAGUAAUAGUGGCGCAAGUUGAGAAAAUUAAAAUAUAGAAGUAAUAAUGGCGCACAUGCACGAUCCACAUGCCAUUCUCCCCAGACUGCUUGUCUUAUAGAAAAAUCUUUUUUUUAUGCCUAUGACUUCCAUAGUUCUAAAAAUAUAUUAGUUAGAGUUGUUAAUGUGUGAAGCUGAAUAUAAUAGAAUAGUGAUUUUGCUUGGUUUGAUUUGUCGAGCUGGUCUCUAAUGAGUUAAAAAAAUAAAUUAGGAUUAAUCACUCAAAUAGUCCUCAAAUUUAUACCCGAUUUAUAUUUUGGUAUUUAGACUAAAUUAUUCGUUCAAAUGAUCCAUCAACUCUAUAUUAUUCGGUCCAUUGGUUCCACUGUCUAAUAUUUUGUUAAAUUUAACCAUAUUUUAGUGUAAAUACGACGACUUUUCAUAAUUAACAAAUAAAAAUAGGGUUAAAAUAAAUGCAAAAUUAAAAAAAAAUUGAAGAAAAAGAGAAAAAAAUCAUGAGACCCAAAUCUAAUGCCUCCUCCCUUCGAUUUCUUCUCCCCCAUUCCCCCUCUCCUCUCUUCUCUCCACCUCUUUCUCUCUCAUCCCCUCUCUCUCAAUUACCAAAACAUCAAUUAAAAAGCAUUGAAGAAAAAAACCUAACCAGACCCCUCCUACCCCAUACCCAACCAGCUACCACCCUUUCCACCCCCACCACCAUACCAACCAUGAAGACCCACCCAAUUUGGGUCAAACCUUGAUGCUGCGACUCAGGCAUUACUCUGUGGAAGAUUUUUUUUCUUCUCGUUUUCUGUAGUUGCUGGCUUGGGUGGAGGGUUGGGGAGGAGUUGAGGUUCUGGUUCAUGGGGCCUGGGGUGGAGGGUGGUUGUGGGAUGAGCUUGAGGGUGGUAGGCAUGGGGGAAUGGAGAGAGAGAGAGAGAGAGAGAGUUUUUAUUUCAUUUUUCAGUAUUUAUUUUUUUUUAACAUAAAAAAUAACCAAUUUGCCUUCAUAUUUAACAGCAAUAUUGACAGAAUGUAAUGGUAUGACAAAUGGACUGAAUAAUAUAGAGUUGAUAGACCAUUUGAACGAAUAAUUUAAUUGAGGGACCAAAAUAUAAAUUCGGUAUAAGUUUGAGCACCAUUUGAGUAAUUAAUCCAAAUAAAUUAAGUUGAGUUCGAAUAAGCUAUAUCGAUGCAAUUUAAGCUUCACAAAGUUUAAUGGGAAAUAAUGAAAAAAAAUUAAAAUUAAAAAUAGUAAUGAAAAAUUAAAAACAAAGGCAUUCUAAAAUAAAAACACAAAAUAAGAGCAAUACAUGGCCUAUAUAAAUUUUUUAACUCAAAUGGUCCACGAACUUAUACACAUUUUGCAUUGUUGUGCUUUAACUCAAAUAUUCUUCGUUCAAAUAGUCCACAUACUCUUUAUUAUUGGAUGAAUUAGUCCCACUGUUACACUAUGUCAGUGUUGCAGUGACAUAUAGGGAUAAAACAAUCCAGUUAAAUAAAUAAAUUAUAUAUUAAAUUUGACUUAUCCCCUCCAAAUUGAAUUUUAUUUACCUGCAACCCAUCACUUUUUGUUCUUGUCCAUAAAAUUUAAUUUUUAUAAGCAAAAACCCAAGACUAGGAUCCAACUCAUCAACUUAACUUCUUUUUUUUUUCCCUAAGAUAGAGAAUUCAUUCAUAGAACCAAGGACGUAUAAAGAACGACAUGAUACAGUAGCCUCACUAAAACCUUUCUAGGACAACCUCAUGGAACAAACCCCAGGGGAGGAAAAAGUACCACACAUGUUAUGGACUAACAAAAGAAUCCGAUUCAGGUCACUUUGGACCAUUACAAUAAAAGAACAAAUCAAAACGAAAACUAACACAACUAGAGACCAACACAAUAGACCCUUAUGAGAGGACCGCAGAAACCCCAAAUAGUAAACUCAUAAGAGAGGACCGCAAAACAUCCCAAUCGCUAAAAGAAGCCUUCUAUGAGUAAAAUUAUAGUCAUUUGACACCCACACAAACUGCAAGACAUAGCAUAGCAGAAACCAUGAGGAACACAUAAACAACAGUAAAAGGACCCCUGAAAAGCACUCCACUUCAAUUAAGACCCUGACAAAGAAAACCUCCAAUGACCAAGCAUAGUUCUUCGGUUAGUGCAGAGUAGAGAAGAGCACCACAUCCCAACAACUACCAUUAGCUUCGAUGUUACCGUUGCUGUUGAAACAGAGACAAAACAUUAGCCACCAGGUACAACUCUCCCAAGGAGAGACACAAUCCAGCGUUACUACUGUCACCGCAGCCGAGGCAAGUCCACAUGGAAGAAUCCUCAAUUGACAAUGUGGCUAGGGAACAAGCCGUCCAACUGGGACUAAGCUCACCAACACAUACAUCAUAAUCCUCAAUACUCGUACGCCUGUGACAAAUCAUACGCGCGCAAACUAACCCCGCUAAAAGUCUAU
This 2477-nucleotide long non-coding RNA is filed under the name Prunus persica (peach). RNAcentral describes it as "long non-coding RNA (PPER_LNC005874)". The record is from RNAcentral. Lineage: Eukaryota; Viridiplantae; Streptophyta; Magnoliopsida; Rosales; Rosaceae.